RNAcentral lists this ribosomal RNA (391 nucleotides) under uncultured soil bacterium. RNAcentral's name for it is "bacterial SSU rRNA". It matches the Rfam family "Bacterial small subunit ribosomal RNA", at positions 26 to 413 of the family's 1533-position model. The record is from RNAcentral.
AGAGUGAACGCUGGCGGUAGGCCUAACACAUGCAAGUCGAACGGCAGCACGGUAAGAGCUUGCUCUUAUGGGUGGCGAGUGGCGGACGGGUGAGGAAUACAUCGGAAUCUACCUUUUGGUGGGGGAUAACGUAGGGAAACUUACGCUAAUACCGCAUACGCCCUUCGGGGGAAAGCCGGGGACCAGCAAUGGCCUGGCGCUGAUAGAUGAGCCGAUGUCGGAUUAGCUAGUUGGUGAGGUAAUGGCUCACCAAGGCGACGAUCCGUAGCUGGUCUGAGAGGAUGAUCAGCCACACUGGAACUGAGACACGGUCCAGACCUCCACGGGAGCAGCAGUGGGAAUAUGGACAAGUGGGCGCAAGCCUGAUCCAGCCAUACCGCGUGGGUAGAAG